UUAACCAACCCUUUACUGAAUUCUUACAAAAAUUGUCUUUUACUCGGAUAAUGUUGUAGGUUUGGCAUAGUGAUACGAAUUGCAAUUGUCUUUUUUAUUUUCGCUUUAUACCAUGAAAGUUUGAAUUGUGUUCGAGUGUUUAUCCUUUUUUUUUUUUAUAUUUCUUUUUGGUGUUAAUAGUUAUCGGGAAGUUUCACGCUAGAUAUAUAUCUUAGUACGUUGGAAUGUUGUUACGUCAAUUGACUUGCCUUUGUUCAUCUUGCUGGUUAUCAUAUCCGGCUAAAAAGAAGGUAAUUCUGCAGAAGGAGAUUGGAAUUGCGAAUUGGAAGUUCAUACCAUCUUCUGUAGUGAAUUUCGGGUGUUUUCUGUUUUGUUGGUAAUAACUUUUGGAGGCUGAAGAAGCUUAAGAACCGCCAGAAGAAGAAUUAGCAUGAUCGGUACCAGAUGGACACAUGUGUCCGAAGCAGAGUCCUGACCAAUCCCAAGGGUACACAGGCUCUUGGCAAGAAGUUUCUUGCAAAUGCGCCACGGCUCCUAUAAAUUAUUUGCACCCAAGGAUUCAAAUGUUAGACUUUUGGAGAGAGGAUACGCCAAGACCAAAGCUCUUACCACUUGAUCCAACCCCUAGCUAAUUCUGCAUGCGUGUGACUUAGGCCGGCUCCCUCCCCACAGAAGAAUAAUGAAUGAAGAAACUCCUAAGGAGAUCCAAGCAGUUCAUUGAAGUAUGACCACCCCACCCCAGGACAAUGAUGGCAUACCCAGGUUAAUGAGAGAUGAGUCUAGUUCUGUAGAUGCCUCCAUUGGUAAUAGUCAUGACUAUAUAUAAAUGCCAUUUAUUUUGUUUUUCCUUUAUGUGUUCUUCCGCUUUUCCAGGCAUUGACAUGUAACAAUUAUAUUUGAACUGUCAUUUGAAUAGAGCAUCAUAUGGUCUUAAGUCUUUCCUUCCUUGAAAGUCUAAUUAGAUCACUUGCUCAGAUUAUAUGGAUGGAGAAGCAUAUUGAUUGGUGACAUAAUGCUUAUGUCAUUUUCAGUGACUGUGUUUGACAUUAAAUUUCUGCAAUUAAUUACCAUUUCAAUUAUUCUUUGGUGAGAUGCUGACAAGUUCCUUUUGUUUCUCUUUUCCUGAUUCCUGAGGCCAUAUUCUUCUCUUCUCAUCUUCUUUCCCUGCUUUUGGAUUCGUGAGAUCUCAUCUAAUGGGUCCCUUAAAGAAUAAUAAUUGAUGAGGCAACUUUGUUUAAAUGACUUUGGAUUCACCGGACCUUCUCCUACUGACCUAAAAAAUACCAGGGGCCAUUUGGCAUCAUCCCAGAAUCACCUUUACCUGUUAUGGAAUAUAUUAAAGUGAGAAAGUAGCUUCAAGUACAGCAGCUGGUUAAAGAGAAAGACCAACUGAAUGUUUGGUGCUGAUAUGGCAACACUUGAAGGAUCAAUCAUUGGAUUUUGAUUCCAGUGAUCAAACUCUUGAACGCAACCCAAGAAAUCUGAGGAUCGAUCUGAUGCAAUUGCCUUUUUUACGAUUUGUUGUUGGCCAUUUGUGGCCUCCCUUUUUCUUUUCUUCUUUUCUUUUCUUUUCUACCUGAAAAUUUCUUUUCUUCAUUUCAGCUUGGAUAUGGAUUACAGAAUUAAAGCGAACACUCCCUUUGGAAUAUAUUUCUUUAUGGGACUUUUA
Molecule: long non-coding RNA, 1669 nt
Organism: Juglans microcarpa x Juglans regia
Lineage: Eukaryota; Viridiplantae; Streptophyta; Magnoliopsida; Fagales; Juglandaceae
Exons: 5
Source: RefSeq, a predicted model, not a curated record